RNAcentral lists this unclassified non-coding RNA (545 nucleotides) under Hevea brasiliensis (rubber tree). The record is from RNAcentral. Lineage: Eukaryota; Viridiplantae; Streptophyta; Magnoliopsida; Malpighiales; Euphorbiaceae.
GAGUCCGGAGAGGGGACCGCGGGGAGAUCUAUUGGUGGAGUUCCGCUACCAGCUAUGAAUAUGAAAGUACAGUCGGCUUACCCAAUCUCAGUUCCAAUCCACUUGAGCCUAACCAACCUUCGUACCGGAACUUGUUAAUUGAGUGACUUCCGUGCCUACACAACUCAGUUGAGCUUCUUCUCUACUUGUCACUCUUCGCCCCGAGAGUUAGGAGAAAGGCUUCACCUAUUUCAUACCCUUGCCGUCCUACCACCUCUCCUUCUUACUUGUUAGUCGAGAUACCAACCCUCCAACUCAGUCUUUCCGCUUCCCGGAUUAUCAGUCGAGUUACUAGGCUCCUAGAAAGAUUUCGCUUCUACAACGCCUUUGAAGUUGAGCUUCUUCAAUCCUCUCCUUAUCAAUCAGUCGAGCUACUUCGUGCCUCUAACCCUAUCGUUUCGUAAACUAAACUAUAACCUUUGAAGUCGAUCUUUACGUCGACCCGUGGAAUGGAAACUAAGACAAAUCAAGUGCAAUCGCGCUUUCGAUCUUAUAAACGAUAUUCC